RNAcentral lists this long non-coding RNA (549 nucleotides) under Gossypium barbadense (sea-island cotton). Its description in RNAcentral is "long non-coding RNA (GBAR_LNC019550)". Lineage: Eukaryota; Viridiplantae; Streptophyta; Magnoliopsida; Malvales; Malvaceae. The record is from RNAcentral.
UGGUUGAUCACAUGAGGAAGAUGAAGAACAAUGCCAUUGUUUGCAACAUUGGUCACUUUGACAAUGAAAUCGAUAUGCUCGGUCUUGAGACCUAUCCUGGUGUUAAACGCAUCACCAUUAAGCCUCAAACCGAUAGGUGGGUCUUCCCUGAAACCAAAACUGGCAUCAUUGUGUUGGCUGAAGGACGUCUGAUGAACUUGGGAUGUGCCACUGGACACCCAAGUUUUGUCAUGUCCUGCUCGUUCACUAACCAGGUGAUUGCCCAGCUCGAGCUAUGGAAGGAGAAGGCAACUGGAAAAUAUGAGAAGAAGGUUUACGUAUUGCCAAAGCACCUCGACGAGAAAGUUGCUGCACUUCACCUCGGCAAGCUCGGAGCUAAGCUCACUAAGCUCACUAAAGAUCAAGCUGAUUACAUUAGUGUGCCUGUUGAAGGUCCUUACAAGCCUCCUCAUUACAGGUACUGAGGGGGACAGUUAAUGAGUUUUUAUCGAGAAAGAAAAAGCAUCCGGAUGGUUUGAUUGUUUCUUGUUUUACUGAAAUUUCAUGAUG